This 463-nucleotide ribosomal RNA is filed under the name uncultured bacterium. RNAcentral's name for it is "partial 16S ribosomal RNA". It matches the Rfam family "Bacterial small subunit ribosomal RNA", at positions 29 to 507 of the family's 1533-position model. The record is from RNAcentral.
AGUGAACGCUGGCGGCGUGCUUAAUACAUGCAAGUCGAACGAUGAAGUCCUAGCUUGCUCGGAUGGAUUAGUGGCGCACGGGUGAGUAAUAUAUAGUUAAUCUGCCUUGCACUGUGGAACAACAGUUGGAAACGAUUGCUAAUACCUCAUACUUCAACUUUACAUAAGUUAAGUUGGGAAAGUCUUUUCGGUGCAAGAUGAGACUAUAUCGUAUCAGCUAGUUGGUAAGGUAAUGGCUUACCAAGGCUAUGACGCGUAACUGGUCUGGGAGGAUGAUCAGUCACAUUGGAACUGAGACACGGUACAAACUCCUACGGGAGGCAGCAGUAAGGAAUAUUGUGCAAUGGGGGAAACCCUGACGAAGCAACGCCGCGUGGAGGAGGACACUUUUCGGAGCGUAAACUCCUUUUGUUAGGGAAGAAUAAUGACGGUACCUAACGAAUAAGCACCGGCUAACUACGUG